RNAcentral lists this long non-coding RNA (35688 nucleotides) under Malus domestica (apple). RNAcentral's name for it is "long non-coding RNA (MDOM_LNC002161)". Lineage: Eukaryota; Viridiplantae; Streptophyta; Magnoliopsida; Rosales; Rosaceae. The record is from RNAcentral.
CUACUAAAAGCAUACUGCAUAAACAGCUUGAGAGCAUCAUUGUUGUUUAAAAACUCGGGCUCAUAUAUCUCAUCACCAAGUCUGCUUAGUGACUGUUUAUCUCUAGUUGUUAUAAUGAUUCGACUUCCGCCACCAAAUGAAGGUUGCUUUCCAAUUAAGGCUUCAAUUUGGGAUGAACUCUCCACAUUAUCCACAACAACAACAACAACAACAAAGCCUUUUCCCACUAAGUGGGGUCGGCUAUAUGAAUCCUAGAACGCCAUUGCGCUCGGUUUUGUGUCAUGUCAUCCGUUAGAUCCAAGUACUCUAAGUCUUUUCUUAGAGUCUCUUCCAAAGUUUUCCUAGGUCUUCCUCUACCCCUUCGGCCCUGAACCUCUGUCCCGUAGUCACAUCUUCAAACCGGAGCGUCAGUCAGCCUUCUUUGCACAUGUCCAAAUCACCGGAGCCGAUUUUCUCUCAUCUUUCCUACAAUUUCGGCUACUCCUACUUUACCUCGGAUAUCCUCAUUCCCAAUCUUAUCCUUUCUCGUGUGCCCACACAUCCCACGAAGCAUCCUCAUCUCCGCUACACCCAUUUUGUGUGUACGUGUUGAUGCUUCACCGCCCAACAUUCUGUGCCAUACAACAUCGCUGGCCUUAUUGCCAUCCUAUAAAAUUUUCCCUUGAGCUUCAGUGGCCUACGACGGUCACACAACACGCCGGAUGCGCUCUUACACUUCAUCCAUCCAGCUCGUAUUCUAUGGUUGAGAUUUCCAUCUAAUUCUCCGUUCUCUUGCAAGAUAGAUCCUAGGUAGCGAAAACGGUCGCUUUUUGUGAUCUUCGCUAGAUUGCUCCGGUCAUUAGUGUGGAUAAGUAUAUAUAAAUGGAUAGAGAUAGGAAAGCAAACACAAGAUGUACGUGGUUCACCCAGAUUGGCUACGUCCACGGAAUAGAAGAGUUCUCAUUAAUUGUGAAGGGUUUACACAAGUACAUAGGUUCAAGCUCUCCUUUAGUGAGUACAAGUGAAUGAUUUAGUACAAAUGACAUUAGGAAAUAUUGUGGGGGAGAAUGAUCUCGUAAUCACGAAACUUCUAAGUAUCGGAGUGUGGUGUCGUCUUGACUUGCCUUAUCUGUCUCAUAGGUAGAUGUGGCAUCUUCUCUGGAAGUACUUUUUCCUCCAUCCAGGGGUGGUAUCUUUAACUGGUGGAGAUGCACAAGGUAAUGUAUCAAUUUCACUUGAAGCUUACUUGUAGUUUCAGGCUUGGUCAAGCGCGAUACAAACCAUGUAGUAGGAGUCCCCCAAGUCGCCGAGCUAGGGGGUCUGCUGAAAGAGGUGACAGACAAGGUAAGCAAUCAGAGCUCCGACUGAUUGUUCACCUUCUCCCCAUCUUGCAGCAGCAUGAAGGAUAAAGAGAAGAAAAAUGAGAAGAGAUGAUAUGAGAUACUUUUGCUUUUGAAGAAGUAACUUUUCCACAGGCUUAUUCUUGAACUGAGCUGGAGGGUUUUCUGGUUUCCUCCAGAGUAUAAGGCCGACUGAAGAAUUUGAGGGUCAAAACAAGUCCAUCAAAUCUAGAGUACGUUCCACCCUGCUGAUAUGGGAUACUUUUGCUUUUGACAGAGUAAUGGAUGUAUCGGCACGUGUGCUGUUACGCUUGUCUCCACAUGCUUCCUUGUAUCCUUCGCACUUGCCCUAUCUGUUCCUCAAGCAGAUGCGGAAUCUUCCCUGGAAACAUAAGAUGUUGAAGAUGAGUACUCGAGAGCAAUGCCAGGUAAGUAAUCAGGUAAGGGGUUCCAGGCAGUCAGUUCCUGGCUGGAAGCUUGAUUCCAAGUGCUGACUGAUUGCUCUCUUUCUCCUUGUCUUGCAGGUAAAAACAAGGCCAAAGGAAAAGACAGGGAAAAAGCAUGAUAUGGGAUACUCUUGCUUUUAACCCUGAUGAUAUGAGAUAUUCUUGCUCUAGUAUAGCUUGUUUGCAGAGGUAUUAUCGGGGGGAAAGAAAGCUGAAUAUUUCGAAAGGCUUCGUUGGGAGUGCCCUCUCAGAUAUGAUGAAGGGUUGAGCAUUUUUGCAGGUCUGCCUGUCCGUUGGGGAUGGAGGUCGACAUAUAUAGGAGUCUCCCUAACAACAAGUAGUAAUGCUAUUCCUUUACCCUGCUUGGUCAUAGCACGGUAGUGGGAGCUGCCAGUUUCACAUGUUUUAACUCUGUCAGAGCACUUUGAAAAAGUGGUCUGUGGUAUCUGGCUCUCGAGAUUCGGAGAACGAUGCCUCUUCGAUUUUUGAGAAAGCAAUCAUGCUGGGGGUCUGGCUCUCGAGAUUCGGAGAGCAGUGUCUCUUCGAUUUUUGAGGAAGUAAUCAUGUUGGGAGUCUGGCUCUCGAGAUUCGGAGGGCGGUGCCUCUUCGAUUUUGGAGCAAGCAAUCUUGUUGGGAGUGUUGUCUCGAAUGUGAGUAAAGGUUGGGCAUGUUUGCUAGUCUACCUUGCCACGAAGCACAAAGGUUGACACACAGGGACUUUCCAAUUAUCCAGCAAUGGUACUGUUCCUUUACCCUCUCUUCGAUUUUGAGAAAGUAGUCAUGUUGGGAGUCUGGCUCUCGAGAUUCGGAGGACGGUGCCUCUUCGAUUUUGGAGCAAGCAAUCUUGUUGGGAGUGUUUUCUCGAAUGUGAGUAAAGGUUGGGCAUGUUUGCUAGUCUACCUUGCCACGAAGCACAGAGGUUGACACACAGGGACUUUCCAAUUAUCCAGCAGUGGUACUGUUCCUUUACCCUUGUGGGUAAUAAUAUGGUAGCUAGACCUUCAAAAUUUAUGUGUCUAAACUUUGUUAGUGCUGUUUCUUUGCUAUUCUUUUACCUUUCUUGGUCAGAGCGAUGUAGUGGGAGCUGCAAGCUUCACGUGCUCAACUUUGGCAGAGAACUUUGGCAAAGUUAUCUGUGGUACCCAUGAGCUAUUGUUGCGUGUGGGAAGUGGGUGAUUGAACAGUAAGAUUCAUGUGCUUUCUACUUCACCAGAAGUCUUCGACAGAAUGCCCAUAAUUUCUGCAAAGCUGAGUGUGCGUGUGACAGGUGCUGACAAGGCUAGAAAAGUAGGUGCCUCUUCGAUUUCUGAGAUCGGCCCUCGUGGUCUCUGAGCAGCCCAGCUUUUGAGAAAGCGAGCGCCUCUUCGAUUGAUUCGGAGAACGAUGCCUCAUCGAUUUUUGAGAAAGCAAUCAUGCUGGGGGUCUGGCUCUCGAAGAUUCGGGGAGCAGUGUCUCUUCGAUUUUUGAGAAAGUAAUCAUGUUGGGAGUCUGGCUCUCGAGAUUCGGAGGGCGGUGCCUCUUCGAUUUUGGAGCAAGCAAUCUUGUUGGGAGUGUUUUUCUCGAAUGUGAGUAAAGGUUGGGCAUGUUUGCUAGUCUACCUUGCCACGAAGCACAGAGGUUGACACACAGGGACUUUCCAAUUAUCCAGCAAUGGUACUGUUCCUUUACCCUCUCUCUUCGAUUUUUAAGAAAGUAGUCAUGUUGGGAGUCUGGCUCUCGAGAUUCGGAGGACGGUGCCUCUUCGAUUUUGGAGCAAGCAAUCUUAUUGGGAGUGUUUUCUCGAAUGUGAGUAAAGGUUGGGCAUGUUUGCUAGUCUACCUUGCCACGAAGCACAGAGGUUGACACACAGGGACUUUCCAAUUAUCCAGCAGUGGUACUGUUCCUUUACCCUUGUGGGUAAUAAUAUGGUAGCUAGACCUUCAAAAUUUAUGGGUCUAAACUUUGUUAGUGCUGUUUCUUUGCUAUUCUUUUACCCUUCUUGGUCAGAGCGAUGUAGUGGGAGCUGCAAGCUUCACGUGCUCAACUUUGGCAGAGAACUUUGGCAAAGUUAUCUGUGGUACCCAUGAGCUAUUGUUGCGUGUGGGAAGUGGGUGAUUGAACAGUAAGAUUCAUGUGUUUUCUACUUCCCCAGAAGUCUUCGACAGAAUGCCCAUAAUUUCCGCAAAGCUGAGUGUGCGUGUGACAGGUGCUGACAAGGCUGGAAAAGUAGGUGCCUCUUCGAUUUCUGAGAUCGGCCCUCGUGGUCUCUGGGGAGCCCAGCUUUUGAGAAAGCGAGCGCCUCUUCGAUUUCUGAGAUCGGCCUUCGUGGUCUUUGAGCAGCCCAACUUUUGAGAAAGCAAACGCCUCUUCGAUUUCUGAGAUCAACCCUCGUGAUCUCUAAGCAGCCCAGCUUUUGAGAAAGCAAACGCCUCUUCGAUUUCUGAGCAGGCGCCUCUUCGAUUUCUGAAGCUCCGUCGAGUGCAGAUUUUUAUAUAGGGGCUGGCAUUAAGUUCCAAAGCACACUUGAAUCUCCACCAGUAGAAGCUUCAUUCUUGCACUUCUAAGAUCUUGAUUUGUCCGACCUCUUCUCUCUUCAACACCUUUGAAAAUGUCUGGCCCCUCCGACCGUCGUUUUGACUUGAACCUUGUUGAAGAGGCAGCCCCGCCUUCUCCAGACAACAUAUGGCGCCCAUCCUUCGUCUCCCCUACUGGUCCUCUUACCGUUGGGGAUUCCGUGAUGAAGAAUGAUAUGACCGCUGCGGUGGUGGCCAGGAACCUUCUCACUCCCAAAGAUAACAGACUACUUUCCAAACGGUCUGAUGAGUUAGCUGUUAAGGAUUCGCUGGCUCUCAGUGUUCAGUGUGCAGGUUCUGUGUCUAAUAUGGCCCAACGCCUAUUUGCUCGAACCCGCCAAGUUGAAUCAUUGGCGGCUGAAGUGAUGAGUCUCAAACAGGAGAUUAGAGGGCUCAAGCAUGAGAAUAAACAGUUGCACCGGCUCGCACAUGACUAUGCUACAAACAUGAAGAGGAAGCUUGACCAGAUGAAGGAAACUGAUGGUCAGGUUUUACUUGAUCAUCAGAGAUUUGUGGGUUUGUUCCAAAGGCAUUUAUUGCCUUCGUCUUCUGGGGCUGUACCGCGUAAUGAAGCUCCAAAUGAUCAACCUCUGAUGCCUCCUCCUUCUAGGGUUCUGUCCAGUACUGAGGCUCCAAAUGAUCCCCCUCCGGUGCCUUCUCUUUCUGGGGCUCUACCGACUGCUGAGACUUCUCCUAAGCAACCUUUGUGAAGGCUCCCUCUUGUGUGUUUAUUUUGACUCAUGUAUAUGUACAUAUUUGUAGCUUAUCGGGGAUAUCAAUAAAUAAGCUUUCCUUCAUUUCAACGUAUUGUGUUAAAUACACCAAAGCCUUCUUCGCUAAGUUCUUUGAAUUUUCUUUUGUUGAAGCUUGUAUGUUGAAGCUUUCUGAGUGGAGCAUGUAGGUUGGGGUAGUGUUCCCUUAAUUUCCCGAGUGAGGAAAACUUCUCGGUUGGAGACUUGGAAAAUCCAAGUCACUGAGUGGGAUCGGCUAUAUGAAUCUUAGAACGCCAUUGUGCUCGAUCCUGUGUCAUGUCCUUCGUUAGAUCCAAGUACUCUAAGUCUUUUCUUAGAGUCUCUUCCAAAGUUUUCCUAGGUCUUCCUCUACCCCUUCGGCCCUGAACCUCUGUCCCAUAGUCGCAUCUUCUAAUCGGAGCGUCAGUAGGCCUUCUUUGCACAUGUCCAAACCACCGUAACCGAUUUUCUCUCAUCUUUCCUUCAAUUUCGGCUACUCCUACUUUACCCCGGAUAUCCUCAUUCCUAAUCUUAUCCUUUCUCGUGUGCCCACACAUCCAACGAAGCAUCCUCAUCUCCGCUACACCCAUUUUGUGUACGUGUUGAUGUUUCACCGCCCAACAUUCUGUGCCAUACAGCAUCGCCGGCCUUAUUGCCGUCCUAUAAAAUUUUCCCUUGAGCUUCAGUGGCAUACGGCGGUCACACAACACGCCGGAUGCACUCUUCCACUUCAUCCAUCCAGCUUGUAUUCUAUGGUUGAGAUCUCCAUCUAAUUCUCCGUUCUUUUGCAAGAUAGAUCCUAGGUAACGAAAACGGUCGCUCUUUGGCAUUUCUUGAUCUCCGAUCCUCACCCCUAACUCGUUUUGGCCUCCAUUUGCACUGAACUUGCACUCCAUAUAUUCUGUCUUUGAUCGGCUUAGGCGAAGACCUUUAGAUUCCAACACUUCUCUCCAAAGGUUAAGCUUUGCAUUUACCCCUUCCUGAGUUUCAUCUAUCAACACUAUAUCGUCUGCGAAAAACAUACACCAAGGAAUAUCAUCUUGAAUAUGGGGUAUGGGCGGUAUAAACUAUUUUAAAAUGUAAAAUAUAAAAUAUAAAAUUAAUAAAUAAUAAUUAAUAAAAAUUGACUGUAUUAUGUACGAUGAAUAAUUACGAUCACGGAAUCCCUAGGAUCCCAAAAGAAAAAUUCGGUGAGAAUCCUUUUCCAGAAUUUUUAAUCCAACCGUUUCUUGUGUUAAAUUUAUCCCAAAAAUUAGUUUUGACCAAAAAUUGAUUUUUAGUCCAAGGGUUGGAGCAAAUUGAGAGAGUUAAAAAACUAAAAUUUAAGCUAAAGUCCAAAGAUUUGAGUUAGUCUAACAAAUACAAAUGAGAGAAAGUAACAUUCAUAUUUUAUUGCGGCUUUUAAUUUUUAUUUAAAAUGGUAUCUAAACUUGGUAUAAUUACUUACUUUUAAAAUUGAUAAAAAUGGUCUUUGAGAUUGUCUACCAUCAAUCAUUUUGGUCAUUCUGUGAAAAAUCUUAAUUAAAUUAGAGGUAUUUUUAUCAAUACCUUUGAAUUGAUGAUUUCUUCAAUUUAAUGAAAUAUUUUCACAAAUCAUGGUGCAUAUUAUUGGUGGUCCUAAGCUCCUUUAUAUGUGUAGCGUAUGCUUAUGUCAUGAUCUUUCUGCUUCUACUAAAUAUCAGAUGAUUUUGUUUUUACUAUUUGUUUUACUUUGUACAUGGGGUGGCUUUUAGGUUCCCCUGUUGUCUUACUUGCUAUGUUAUUUCCUCAACAAGGUUUGCUUUUAUGUUUCCCUCAUUUGUAAAUUUCCUUUUUUUUUGUUUUUACUUUAAUAUGAUAAUGGGAUGCUCGGUGAGCACUAUUACCCCAUGAUUUUCACGCAUGCACACAAAAAAAAAAAAAUUUAUCGUCACAACUAGCAUAUUUAUCAAAAUACUCGAAAAGUUAGAGUUUCUAGUCACAACUAACAUUGCCAUAUAGUCAAAAUGCUCAAAGUAUAGAAAAGAAAUAUAAAGAAGAUAUCAAGUUAGAUCAGUUACAUAGAGAGAGUCAUUCCCAUGGGAUUGCAUGAUUUCUCUAUCAUUGCAAUGUAUUUUUCAUAAAACUUCCUUUUCAUGAUUAGGGACUACGAUCCUUGGUGCUAUAAAUUCAGCAGUUGACUCAAGCACAGAAGUUAUCUACAGUGAGAAUCCUGAUGGUAAUUUUGUAAAGUCAAACAACUUUGCAUAUGCCAUUGUUGUGGUUGGCGAGUACCCUAUGCUGGGACUGCGGGAGACAGCCCAAACCUUACGAUGGCGGAACCUGGCCCAAGUGUCAUCAGCAAUGUGUGUGAAAGUGUAAUGUGCAUUGUUACCAUAAUAACUGGAAAACCUAUUGUAAUAGAACCAUACUAGAAAUUACGCCCGUUGUUGCGGAAACCAACUGUUACAGGCGUAAUCGAAUUAAUAAAACACAUUUAAGUUGAAUAAGAAUGUCCCCAUGAUUAGUCUUCUCGUUUAUUUUUCACAAACCAAUCACAUAUUAAAAAUCCAAGUACGAAAGCUUUGCAAAGAUAAAUAAAAAAUUUAUAUAACUAAUUAGACUUUGAACAUGCAAUCAAGGCACAUACUCGUAUACCUAAAAAUAGCAAGGAACCGGCUUCUUCCUCCCACAACCAGAGUUCCUGAAAUUUCCAAAGAAAGUAAAUCCGUUAGCAAUUCAGAGAAAUUGGAAGACCAAAUCGUAUUACAUUUGAGUUAAAUGAGCAAAGGUAAACCAAUUAAAUGAGAUACUAAACACAUUUCGAAUCUAUGAAAUAGAAGAAUAAUCAUGUUAGGACUCCCAAGAUGGUGUCCUAAGCACAAAAUUAUAGGUUAAGAAAGGUAAAUCCCAAUCCAAAGCUCCAACCUUUUAACUGAAAAUGAAACAAAAAAGCAUGGAUCAUAUAUUUCAGUUUUAUUAUUAGAUUUUCUAAAUCCCCAAUUUGAAUGUGUUGUAAAGACCUGCUAAAGAUAAUACCACCAACUAAGGGUGGCAAUCUGACCAGCGUUGUGCAUGUCAUGUCGACUCUAUGCAACUUAAUAUAUAACAUUUAAGCAGCAUUAGACGGUCUCCUAAGCAUCUACAAACCAUUUAACAUUAUUUCCCCAAUUUUAUUUCCCAAUUUUAUCAAAUGCUGCAUAAACGAUCACAAUUUACUCCCUUACAAUUUCCACCUAACUCCGAACAAACAAUAUUGAUAAAUCUUUAUCAUCACCUUUAACGAAACAGAUUACAGCGAAAAGAAAAAAAAAGUUACUAUGAAAUCAAAUUCUUCUAGAUGUCCAACCUAACCCAUCUAUGGGAAGGCAAGCAAUCGGACGUGCAUUUAGACCAAGCAAAAUAAAUUUUACAAUUUAUCAAAACAGCAACUGAUUCUCCCAAAGAGAACACAACAUACCAACAUAUUAUUCACCAUAUUCUAAGCUUUCAUUUUCGUUCUAUCUCUUUCGUUAUCUAAACUUAUAGUUAUCAAAACAGCAAUAAAAUCAUAGACAAACCUUCAAUCAUUUAUCAAAACUGAAUUAAUUAAACUUCUGCUCCGCAGUCCGUUAAUUUUAAUUGCAACUCUCAUUCUAAAAAUUUAAAAUUUUGCAUUGAAUAAUCAAACGCACUUGCACGUUACAUUCCUUUUAUUGGUUCUUGACAUAAUACAUUUUAGGAUUGAUGUAAUAAUAUCACUACAAACAUGAAUUGCGAUAGAUAUAGAAACCAAACUUGCACACAAAUGUUUGACUGAAUUCAGAACCACUUAAUUCAACAUAAAAAAUUACCUCACAUGCUUGCUCCCCUUCUGCUCUCGCAUCGUCGGCUCCGCUACUAAACGAUUAAUGAAGUCCCAAAGCAAAAACAGAACAAAAAACAUUUACCAAUCCAACAUUUCAACACAUGGUUUUGGCAGGUAUAACAUUUCAACAUAAGCAUGAUAUAGAAAGAAAGAAAUCCACAUGUCACUUUGUUUUUUCAGAAUCAACAAAAAGGGCAACUAGAAGAGAAUGUAACCAAUUUUAAAGAGUAAAUCAGUCUCCCAAUAAAGGAGAACAAUGCUGGCGGUAGACCAAGAGUAAGUACAACCCGACUGCAGCAACAAAAACACAAUUGACUUUCACACUACAGAAAUAAAUAAUAAAAAAACACAUACCUGCACCCAAUGCAUUGUUUUUUUUUUCCUCUGCAGUAUAAGAAUAAAAAAGAAUAACAUUCCCCUGAAACCAAAUUCAUCCCCCAAUUUCUUGCAACAAAGAGGGAGACCAACCUUGUGUUCUUGGAGAACAGUAUAACAAUUAGACACAAUCAGACUAAUCCAAGUUCCCACUAUGAUAAUGAAAAAUUAAAAUUAAUAAAAUAGCUCAAAUCAUAUCACAGUAUGUCACAAAGUACACCAUUUGAUAACCAAUAAAUUUAACAAAAAUAGAUUCAAUAGUCUAUAUCAAUUAAUCAAUAGUCUAAAGUAUGAAAAAAAUUGAUUUCAAAGCCUUCCUUAGGAACUUCACAACGUAUCAACAGACAUUAUGAUAUCGAUGAUGGUAUCCAUGAAACCCCAAGCUGCAAGCAAAUACUGCCUUUGGAAAUUUUCAAUAUAAAUGGUUUUGCAAACCAGCCACUAAUGAAACAUCUAAUUUCAAACAAAUAAUAAAAGCUUUCUUUAACUGACACAUUAUCCUUCUUCUUUCCUCCCAUUUACUUCCCACCCUCCCUAUUAAUCCCUCCAUUUUGAAACUCCUAUAUUCUUCCUAUUCUGUACAAAACCUGCCAAAUCAUUUCCUCACUUCUCAAAACCCAAAUAAUCACUUAAAAUGCACAAAAUUACAAUUAAAUCAAUAUUACAUUACACAAAAUGACAUUCAAAACCACAAUACACUAAAACCAAGCGUGAAUUCUACACCCUCAAUAAGUGGAAGCAUUCGUACCUCAAAUGAAUUUGCAACUUAAUUUUUUGCUGAAAAACCUUGACCUACAAAACCAAAUUACAUUUAGGGUAAAUUACAAAAAAUUAUCUCAACUAUUGGUGGCACGACACUUUCAUACCUCAUCUUUUAAAAUUGACAAUGUCAUACCUCAUUUUACGAAUUUAUGCCAACGUUAUACCUUCCGUUAGCUUGGCAUAAAUUUCUCAGUUAAAUGUUGAUGUGGCUUGAUCUGGGGCCCAUUUUCUGUUAAAAAAAUUAUUAAAAACUAAAAAAAAUCAUUUAAUUUUUUUUAAAUAUUAAAAUAAUAAAGAAAAGUUAUAUAAAAUAAAAAAAUAAAAAAACCAACCAACACCCAGUUCGUCCCCUUCCCCCCCCUUUCUCUCUCCUCCCCAUCUUCAUCUUCUUCCCCCUUCUUGCAACUGCAACCCAGAAAAAAGAAGAGAAAAAAAAAACCAAUUUGUCUUCCCCACACCCACUCUCCGCACCCAUCUUCAUCUUCUUCCCCCUUCCAAUUGCAACCCAGAAAAAAAAAAAAAAAAAAAAAAAACCAAUUUGUCAAUUUUUUUUUUCUUCCUCCUUUCUGGGUUGCAGGAAGAUGGGGAAGAGAGAAGGGGGAGGGACAAACUGACCUAAGGUUUUAUUUUAUUUUAUUUUUAUUUACUUUUCUUUAUUAUUUUAAUAUUUAAAAAAUACUAAAUAAUUUUUUAAUAGAAAGUGGGCCCCGAUUCAAGCCACGUUAGCAUUUAACUGAAAAAUUCAUGGUCAAGUAACGGAAGGUAUAACAUUGGCACAAAUUCGUAAGAUGAGGUAUGACAUUAUCAAUUUUAAAAGAUGAGAUAUGAAAGUGUCGUGACACCAAUAGUUGAGUUAGUUUUUUGUAAUUUACCCUUACAUUUAUCAACAAAAAGGAAUCAAUGUAAGAAAGCAAACACAAUACAGAAAAAAUGGCCAUUCAAGUCAGCUCUAUUUAGAUUAUAAUAACUCUCAAUUUAAGAAAGCAAAUGCAAUACAGAAAGCAAAUAUAAUCCAAAUUACCUUGAACACCACCAUCAUAUUUUUACUCCGUUACGUAUACAUGUCCUUUUCUUUCUAGAUAAACUUUAUUUCUUUGAAGUUUCUGCAGGGUGCAUUCCAAUUUAACCCUUUAAAUGUUUGUAUAAAACUUAGGGUGCGAUGGCAAGUGCCUUCGCCCAUAAACGGUAGAUCUCGGGUUCGAGACUUGGGAGCAGCCUCUCCAUAAAUGGGGAUAAGGCUAGCCGACAUUCACCUCUCUCAGACCCUGCGUAAAGCGGGAGCCUUGUGCACUGGGUACGACCUUUAUAUUCUCGCCUGCUUGCAAGUCAACUAAGUCAACUAUUCAACCUUCACAUAUUGUUUAUUAGUUUUCUUGAUACUAAUGUAUGGAAAGGGCUUAAAUCCUUCAAUGUAUGGAAAGGGCUUAAAUCCUUCAAUUAUGGAUAUACUAAUGUAUAAUCCUUUGUUCUAGACCAAUUUUGUUCUUAGUUCUUAGUUUUCUUGAUACAAACUUUUUUUUUUGUAUUAAUAUAAAUUUGUUUGCACCAAGGGAUGGGGUGGGAACAUAUCUUGAAAUAUGGCCACGUCCACAUUUGCAGCUGAAGAACACUUCAAUAUAAGUUUAAUUUGGUGCAACUUUAGGUUUAAUUUGGGUAUGUUCCACCACUUAAAAUUUGCAAUACUAAUUUUGAACAAUGAAUAAGAAAAUUCUACCAAGAGAGAGUAAAAUAGUAAAUCAACUUAAUUUCUGUAAAAAAAAAAAAAAAAACUUGCAAAAAUUUCAUGAAAUUUUGGUAAAAACGGAAAAGAAAAGGGUUAAGACAAUCAAGACUAAUGGAAAAUUUGAUAUUGUUUUAACAUUAACUUAGGUUGAUUUUGUUCACCAGCAUUAAUAAAACGAAUGACUUUAACUUGGGCAAGCAAACAAUUAAAUUAGACGUAAGCCAAGUAACUUAGAAGUUAACCAUAUGAAAAAAGGAAAACUAAUGAAAAAAGCUUGAAAACUUUGAGUUUUAAUGAUAAGGACAAAAUAAAGGGUAAAGUGAAUAGUACCAUGAUUGACUUUUUAGUGUAAAAAUGUGGUUUUUCGUUAAAGUGAAUAGUACCGAGUGCUUUUCGUUAAAGUUCCCUAUGAAAAAAAGCAAUGACAAUCAAACUGACCUCUUCUUUCAUAUGAAGUAUAAUCUGUUCUCUAUUUUGCCUUUGUGAAGAAUGCACUUUUCACUUCCUACACACAAAAUAGCAUACAUUGAAAAUGCUCCGUAGCAUUAUAAAAACUAUAGAUAUACAGUACUGUAUAUGUAUCAUAUACUAUAUUGUGUACGUAGUUGGACAUAAGGUAUAAAGAUUUACUAACAUAAUUAAGCUUAAAUUUAACAAAAGAAGUAAUUACAAAUUGAAAUCAAACGAUAUUCUAGUUAUUCAAAAAAAUUCUGGCUAAAUUUUACAAAUAGUAUUAUAAAUUGUUAAAAAAAAUAACACAAUUGAAAAAACUCACCACUCAAAUCUGCAAUUCUAUUAAAAACACAUCACUAAAAAUUAACUCCAACAAAAGGGGAUUAACAAAUUAUACCUUUUUAAGAGUUGGAAUUGUUUAUCUAUAUCUUGAGCUGGACCCGCUGGAUUUGAAUCCUCAGUUGACUUAGAGGGAGGAUAGGCAUGAAAAGAAGUGUAAGGUUCACUGGAUCAUAUUUUUAAGAGAUAGAGAGAGUUCUACUUUUCAACAGCGGAGAGAACAUAUUCAAUCUUGGGCAUAAAAAGAAAAAAUAGAAGCUUCAUAGCACAAUAAUUAACCACAAUCCUCUGUUUUUCUAAAUGCAAAUAGAAAAAAGGAAUCAAAAUAUUCAACACAAAAUCUUCACAUUAGCUCAAGAACUAUAUUAUUUCCAGUGCUUUCCAAUUUUCCAGCACGGAACAACAAACAUAAAAGCAUUAAAAAUAUAUAAUUGCAAAAAAAAAAAAUAGCAAUUCCAAGAAACUAAAUGCGAAGUUAGCCAGAUCUGCACAGUAACACAAACCCAUUACUUGAAUUAAGAGCAUUGUGGCUCACCCUGAAAACACCCAUUUUGCAAUGAGGAAGAGAGACACUGCUGCUCUGGCUGCUGAGUGCUGCUGGCUCCAAAGCAGUUUGUCUACCAGAACUUUAUAAGAGCAAGUCCAACCCUUCAAAGCCACUGUAAAUCGCCAAGGAUUUACAUCAUUCUGCUUGCCUAAAAAAAGCAAACAAAAAAGAAAAAAAUGGAAAGUAUAAAAUUCAAAUGACCCUUGAUGAACAUAACCCAUAAAUUUUCCUUGUAUUCCAUAAAUGCAAUAAAACAAAAGUCAGUGUCUCCAUUUUCCAAAAAACCAAGCAAGCAAGCAACAAAUUUCGAAAACCCUAAUUCUAACCAAUUUAGAACUAUAACCAAGUAAACCACUUAAUCAACAAAACUCACUAAUUUUCUCAAAAACCCAACAAAUUUAAAGGAUAUCCAGAUGAUAAAUCCCAGUAAAAUCCCAAAUUUGAAAACCAGAAGAAAAAAAAAGACAAAGAGGCUUAUCUUUCUUCACUAAUCGGGCACUAACAGAAAAACCUUAAUUCAUAUUAUUCAGAUUACAAAUACACAGGGACCAAAUAGCUAAUAAUGCUGGACAAUUUGUCCCCAAUCCAACACAAAAAUUGUUCUUGUUAUACAUACGAUACCCGCCUAAAAUAUCAACCAAUUCCAAAUUAAAAUGGAAAAUGAAACGGAGCAUCAUAAAUUGAAUACAAUUUGGAGAAAAUUAUCUCACUUGGGGCGCCGAAUCUCCAAGAGGUCCCAAUCCGAGCAGGCUCCAAAUUGGGUUGUUGAAAAUGGUGAUCAAGGAAGGGUUUUGGAGGUGGGUCUGAUCAGAACAAAGCCGAAGCCAUUAGGUUUGGGGGGAGAGGAACAAAGAGCCACUGAGAGAGAGAGAGAGAGAGAGAGAGAGCAUGCGUUGUCCUUUUCUUCUAUCCGGCCACUGGAUCGCAGUUCCUUCACAAAAAUUAUACACGUGUGUUACUUUUUCAAGUUCUAGUUUUGUAAUCACCUAAUCGAUCAUAACACCAUUCGCAAAUAUGACAAACAUAAACAAUUAAGUCAGCAACAUGAUAUGCCAUUCCUUUCAUAUUGCACAUAUAAAGAAAAAAGAAAUGAACCAAAAUAAAAUUAUACUAUAAUCCAAUUAUAUGAAGGCCAAACUUGAGUUGGGGCUGGUGGCCGUUGACCACAUCAUCGCCUCCAUUUGAGAGAAAAGGGUUUGUUUGGCUUUUUUGUCCAAUUAUUUACACUAACCAUAUAUAAAUGAAGAAGGACAACAUCUAUGUUGCUCCCUUCUUGUGAUCCAAAUUUGAAGAGGGCCGAUGGGGAGGGGCAGUUAUAAGUGUCAUCCUCUUUGUUUCUCCUAUCCCUGCAUUAUCAACCAAAAAAACAUCAAACCAAGUGCAAUACAAUCCAAUUUAAUGCUCACAAAAUUUGAGCUCCAAACAAGGUCACAGGUCAGCAAUCGCCUAAUCGAUCAUAACACCAUUCGCAAACAUAAACAAUUAAGUCAGCAACUUGAUAUGCCAUCCCUUUCAUACAAACACAGAUUGCAAUUCAUAUAUGCCGCAUUAUUUACAAACAAUUACAAAUCAAGAAACAAUUAAAUCAUCAUCAUGAAUUAUAGUGUAAUAACAGCAUCAUCAAUUAGAAGAGACAGAGCUACAUGGCAAUAAACAUAUAGAGAGUAAACAUACAGAGAGGAACUGCUUCAUAUCCUUCCCAAAAGCAAUCUUCCGCAGGAUAACAAAAGAGCGGUUGAUCUCUGAUCUAAUUGCAGACGCAAUCUGCAGAACCGACUUCUAUGGAAUUUUAACUUGUGAAAUGUGGGGUGGAGAUUUGAAUGUAACAAAUUGGUGUUAAGUGAAUAAUUCCAAACAUAUGAAAUUUAGAUAAUCACAUCCGAACGCAAACAGAAGAAUUAAAUAAAGAAUCAAAGGCAUAUGCAAUCUAAUUAGACAAAUAAGUGAACUUUCCCAUGCCAAAAUCCGAAAGGCCAACAGAUAUCUCUCAUUACAGGACUUAAUACAUAUCUUAAAAGACAAAACUUAAAAUAACAAAAAUUAGGUGAAACAAUUGAAGAGAACAUAAUCCUUGUAACCAAUCCGGAAAAGAUGCUUUUAAAUCCCAGAAAACAAAUUAUGAGAAGUUUUUAAAAAAACCAUCAUUUCAAUUAUUUUCCAGUCUUACAUUUGGGAAUAAACAGAAAAUAUAACUAAAAUGCCAACUUUCUCAAAAAACUACAACUACUUUAACAAAUUUCCAUCACUCAACACUGAAAAAUGAGAAUCACGAAGCAACGAAGAACGGAACACGCUAGAAAUAACAACAAAGCCUUUUCCCACUAAGUGAGGUCGGCUAUAUGAAUCCUAGAACGCCAUUGCGCUCGGUUUUGUGUCAUGUCCUCCGUUAGAUCCAAGUACUCUAAGUCUUUUCUUAGGGUCUCUUCCAAAGUUUUCCUAGGUCUUCCUCUACCCCUUCGGCCCCGAACCUGUCUCGUAGUCACAUCUUCGAACCGGAGCGUCAGUAGGCAUUCUUUGCGCAUGUCCAAACAACCGUAACCGAUUUUCUCUCAUAUUUCCUUCAACUUCGGCUAUUCCUACUUUACCUCGGAUAUCCUCAUUCCCAAUCUUAUCAUUUCUCGUGUGCCCACACAUCCCACGAAGCAUCAUUAUCUCCGCUACACCCAUUUUGUGUACGUGUUGAUGCUUCACCGCCCAACAUUCUGUGCCAUACAACAUCGCUGGCCUUAUUACCGUCCUAUAAAAUUUUCCCUUGAGCUUCAGUGACCUAUGACGGUCACACAACACGCCGGAUGCACUCUUACACUUCAUCCAUCCAUCUUGUAUUCUAUGGUUGAGAUCUCCAUCUAAUUCUCCGUUCUCUUGCAAGAUAGAUCCUAGGUAGCGAAAACGGUCGCUUUUUGUGAUCUUCGCUAGAUUGCUCCGGUCAUUAGUGUGGAUAAGUAUAUAAAUGGAUAGAGAUAGGAAAGCAAACACCAGAUGUACGUGGUUCACCCAUAUUGGCUACGUCCACGGAAUAGAGGAUUUCUCAUUAAUUGUGAAGGGUUUACACAAGUACAUAGGUUCAAGCUCUCCUUUAGUGAGUACAAGUGAAUGAUUUAGUACAAAUGACAUUAAGAAAUAUUGUGGGAGAAUGAUCUCGUAAUCACGAAACUUCUAAGUACCGGCGUGUGGUAUCGUCUUGACUUGCCUUAUCUGUCUCGUAGGUAGAUGUUGCAUCUUCUCUGGAAGUACUCUUCCAUCCAGGGGUGGUAUCUUUAACUAGUGGAGAUGCACAAGGUAAUGUAUUAAUUUCACUUGAAGCUUACUUGUAGUUUCAGGCUUGGUCAAGCGCAAUACAAACCAUGUAGUAGGAGUCCCCCAAGUCGCCGAGCUAGGGGAUCUGCUGAAAGAGGUGACAGAUAAGGUAAGCAAUCAGAGCUCCAAGCAAUCAGUCCUAGAUCAGAACUUUGAUUUCGAGUUCCGGCUGAUUGUUCACAUUCUCCCUAUCUUGCAGGCAGCAUGAAGGAUAAAGAGAAGAAAAAUGAGAAGAGAUGAUAUGGGAUACUUUUGCUUUUGAAGAAGUAACUUUCCACAGGCUUAUUCUUGAACUGGGCUGGAGGGUUUUCUAGUUUCCUCCAGAGUAUAAGGCCGACUGAAGAAUUUGAGGGUCAAAACAAGUCCAUCAAAUCUAUAGUACGUUCGACCCUGCUGAUAUAGGAUACUUUUGCUUUUGACAGAGUAGUGGAUGUAUCGGCACGUGUGCUGUUACGCUUGUCUCCACAUGCUUCCUUGUAUCCUUCUCACUUGCCUUAUCUGUUCCUCAGGCAGAUGCGGUAUCUUCCCUGGAAGCAUAAAAUGUUGAAGAUGAGUACUCGAGAGCAAUGCCAGGUAAGUAAUCAAGUAAGGGGUUCCAGGCAGUCAGUUCAUGACUGGAAGCUUGAUUCCAAGUGCUGAUUGAUUGCUCUCUUUCUCCUUGUCUUGCAGGUAAGAACAAGGCCAAAGGAAAAGACAGGGAAAAAGCAUGAUAUGUGAUACUCUUGCUUUUAACCCUGAUGAUAUGAGAUAUUCUUGCUCUAGUAUAGCUUGUUUGCAGAGGUAUUAUCAGGGGGAAAGAAAGCUGAAUAUUUCGAAAGGCUUCUUUGGGAGUGGCUCUCAGAUAUGACGAAGGGUUGAACAUUUUUGCAGGUCUGCCUGUCCGUUGAGGAUGGAGGUCGACAUAUAUAGGAGUCUCCCUAACAACAAGUAGUAAUGCUAUUCCUUUACCCUGCUUGGUCAUAGCACGGUAAUGGGAGCUGCCAGCUUCACAUGUUUUAACUCUGUCAGAGCACUUUGAAAAAGUGAUCUGUGGUAUCUGGAAAGCUGAUGUUGCGUGUGAAGAUUACAGACAAGCUUUAUCCAAGGAGAUCCAGCUCUUGAAGUUGGGAAAGUGGUGCCUCUUCGGUUUUCGAACAAGUAAUCCUGUCGGAGAUCUGGCUCUCGAGAUUCGGAGAACGAUGCCUUUUCGAUUUUUGAGAAAGCAAUUCUGUUAGGGGUUUGGCUCUCGAGAUUCGGAGAGCGGUGUCUCUUCGAUUUUUGAGAAAGUAAUCAUGUUGGGAGUCUGGCUCUCGAGAUUCGGAGGGCGGUGCCUCUUCGAUUUUGGAGCAAGCAAUCUUGUUGGGAGGGUUUUCUCGAAUGUGAGAAAAGGUUGGGCAUGUUUGCUAGUCUACCUUGCCACGAAGCACAGAGGUUGACACAUAGGGACUUUCCAAUUAUCCAGCAGUGGUACUGUUCCUUUACCCAUGUGGGUAAUAAUAUGGUAACUAGACCUUCAAAAUUUAUGUGUCUAAACUUUGUUAGUGCUGUUUCUUUGCUAUUCUUUUACCCUUCUUGGUCAGAGCGAUGUAGUAGGAGCUGCAAGCUUCACGUGUCUCAACUUUGUCAGAGAACUUUGGCAAAGUUAUCUGUGGUACCCAUGAGCUAAUGUUGCGUGUGGAAAGUGGGUGAUUGAACAGUAAGAUUCAUGUGCUUUCUACUUCACCAGAAAUCUUCGACAUAAUGCCCAUAAUUUCCGCAAAGCUGAGUGUGCGUGUGACAGGUGCUGACAAGGUUGGAAAAGUAGGUGCCUCUUCGAUUUCUGAGAUCGGCCCUCGUGGUCUCUGAGCAGCCCAGCUUUUGAGAAAGCAAGCCUCUUCGAUUUCUGAGAUCGGCCUUCGUGGUAUUUGAGCAGCCCAACUUUUGAGAAAGUAAACGUCUCGUGGUCUCUGAGCAGCCCAGCUUUUGAGAAAGCAAACGCCUCUUCGAUUUCUGAAGCUCCGUCGAGUGCAGAUUUUUAUAGAGGCUGGCAUUAAGUUCCAAAGCACACUUGAAUCUCCACCAGUAGAAGCUCCAUUCUUGCACUUCUAAGAUCUUGAUUUGUCCGACCUCUUCUCUCUUCAACACCUUUGAAAAUGUCUGGCCCCCUCCGACCGUCGUUUUGACUUGAACCUUGUUGAAGAGGCAGCCACGCCUUCUCCAAACAACAUAUGGCGCCCAUCCUUCGUCUCCCCUACUGGUCCUCUUACCGUUGGGGAUUCCGUGAUGAAGAAUGAUAUGACCGCUGCGGUAGUGGCCAGGAACCUUCUCACUCCCAAAGAUAACAGACUACUUUCCAAACGGUCUGAUGAGUUGGCUGUUAAGGAUUCUCUGGCUCUCAGUGUUCAGUGUGCAGGUUCUGUGUCUAACAUGGCCCAACGCCUAUUUGCUCGAACCCGCCAAGUUGAAUCAUUGGCGGCUGAAGUGAUGAGUCUCAAACAGGAGAUUAGAGGGCUCAAGCAUGAGAAUAAACAGUUGCACCGGCUCGCACAUGACUAUGCUACAAACAUGAAGAGGAAGCUUGACCAGAUGAAGGAAUCUGAUGGUCAGGUUUUACUUGAUCAUCAGAGAUUUGUGGGUUUGUUCCAAAGGCAUUUAUUGCCUUCGUCUUCUGGGGCUGUACCGCGUAAUGAAGCUCCAAAUGAUCAACCUCUGCUGCCUCCUCCUUCUAGGGUUCUGUCCAGUACUGAGGCUCCAAAUGAUCCCCCUCCAGUGCCUGCUCUUUCUGGGGCUCUACCGACUGCUGAGACUUCUCCUAAGCAACCUUUGUGAAGGCUCCCUCUUGUUUGUUUAUUUUGACUCAUGUAUAUGUACAUAUUUGUAACUUAUCGGGGAUAUCAAUAAAUAAGCUUUCCUUCAUUUCAACGUAUUGUGUUAAAUACACCAAAGCCUUCUUCGCUAAGUUCUUUGAAUUUUCUUUUUGUUGAAGCUUGUAUGUUGAAGCUUUGUGAGUGGAGCAUGUAGGUUGAGGUAGUAUUCCCUUAAUUUCCCGAGUGAGGAAAACUUCUCGGUUGGAGACUUGGAAAAUCCAAGUCACUGAGUGGGAUCGGCUAUAUGAAUCUUUGAACGCCAUUGUGCUCGGUCCUGUCAUGUCCUCCGUUAGAUCCAAGUACUCUAAGUCUUUUCUUAGAGUCUCUUCCAAAGUUUUCCUAGGUCUUCCUCUACCCCUUCGGCCCUGAACCUCUGUCCCAUAGUCGCAUCUUCUAAUCGGAGCGUCAGUAGGCCUUCUUUGCACAUGUCCAAACCACCGUAACCGAUUUUCUCUCAUCUUUCCUUCAAUUUCGGCUACUCCUACUUUACCCCGGAUAUCCUCAUUCCUAAUCUUAUCCUUUCUUGUGUGCCCACACAUCCAACGAAGCAUCCUCAUCUCCGCUACACCCAUUUUGUGUACGUGUUGAUGCUUCACCGCCCAACAUUCUGUGCCAUACAGCAUCGCCGGCCUUAUUGCCGUCCUAUAAAAUUUUCCCUUGAGCUUCAGUGGCAUACGGCGGUCACACACAACACGCCGGAUGCACUCUUCCACUUCAUCCAUCCAGCUUGUAUUCUAUGGUUGAGAUCUCCAUCUAAUUCUCCGUUCUUUUGCAAGAUAGAUCCUAGGUAACGAAAACGGUCGCUCUUUGGUAUUUCUUGAUCUCCGAUCCUCACCCCUAACUCGUUUUGGCCUCCAUUUGCACUGAACUUGCACUCCAUAUAUUCUGUCUUUGAUCGGCUUAGGCGAAAGACCUUUAGAUUCCAACACUUCUCUCCAAAGGUUAAGCUUUGCAUUUACCCCUUCCUGAGUUUCAUCUAUCAACACUAUAUCGUCUGCGAAAAGCAUACACCAAGGAAUAUCAUCUUGAAUAUGUCCUGUUAACUCAUCCAUUACCAACGCAAAAAGGUAAGGACUUAAGGAUGAGCCUUGAUGUAAUCCUACAGUUAUGGGAAAGCUUUCGGUUUGUCCUUCAUGAGUUCUUACGGCAGUCUUUGCUCCUUCAUACAUAUCCUUUAUAGCUUGGAUAUAUGCUACUCGUACUCCUUUUCUUCUCUAAAAUCCUCCAAAGAAUGUCUCUUGGGACCCUAUCAUACGCUUUUUUCCAAAUCUAUAAAGACCAUGUGUAAAUCCUUUUUCCCAUCUCUAUAUCUUUCCAUCAAUCUUCGUAAGAGAUAGAUUGCCUCCAUGGUUGAGCGCCCUGGCAUGAACCCGAAUUGGUUGUCCGAAACCCGUGUCUCUUGCCUCAUCUAUGCUCAAUGACUCUCUCCCAGAGCUUCAUUGUAUGACUCAUUAGCUUAAUACCCCUAUAGUUCAUGCAAUUUUGUACGUCGCCCUUAUUCUUGUAGAUAGGCACCAAAGUGCUCGUUUCGCCACUCAUUUGGCAUCUUCUUCGUUUUCAAAAUCCUAUUGAAAAGGUCAGUGAGCCAUGUUAUACCUGUCUCUCCCAAAACUUUCCACACUUCGAUUGGUAUAUCGUCUGGGCCCACUGCUUUUCUAUGCUUCAUCUUCUUCAAAGCUACAACCACUUCUUCCUUCCGGAUUCGACGAUAAAAAGAGUAGUUUCUACACUCUUCUGAGUUACUCAACUCCCCUAAAGAAGCACUCAUUUCAUGUCCUUCAUUGAAAAGAUUAUGAAAAUAACCUCUCCAUCUGUCUUUAACCGCGUUUCUCUGUAGCAAGAACCUUUCCAUCCUCAUCCUUGAUGCACCUCACUUGGUUUAGGUCCCUUGUCUUCUUUUCCCUUGCUCUAGCUAGUUUAUAGAUAUCCAACUCUCCUUCUUUGGUAUCUAGUCGCUUAUACAUAUCGUCAUAAGCCGCUAACUUAGCUUCUCUCACAGCUUUCUUCGCCUCUUGCUUCGCUUUUCUAUACCUUUCACCAUUUUCAUCGGUCCUAUCCUUGUAUAAGGCUUUACAACAUUCCUUCUUAGCCUUCACCUUUGUUUGUACCUCCUCAUUCCACCACCAAGAUUCCUUUUGGUGUGGGGCAAAGCCCUUGGACUCUCCUAAUACCUCUUUUGCUACUUUUCGGAUACAACUAGCCAUGGAAUCCCACAUUUGGCUAGCUUCCCCCUCUCUAUCCCACACACACUGGGUGAUUACUUUCUCUUUGAAAAUGACUUGUUUUUUCUUCUUUUAGAUUCCACCAUCUAGUCCUUGGGCACUUCCAAGUCUUGUUCUUUUUUCUCACUCUUUUGAUAUGUACAUCCAUCACCAACAAGCGAUGUUGAUUAGCCAAGCUCUCUCCUGGUAUAACUUUGCAAUCCUUACAAGUUAUACGAUCCCCUUUCCUCAUUAGAAGAAAAUCUAUUUGUGUUUUUGACGACCCACUCUUGUAGGUGAUCACAUGUUCUUCUCUCUCUUCUUAAAGAAGGUGUUGGCUAAGAAGAGAGAUCAUAUGCCAUUGCAAAAUCCAAGAUAGCUUCCCCAUCCUCGUUUCUCUCCCCAAAACCAUGGCCACCAUGAAAACCUCCAUAGUUGCCUGUCUCCCUGCCCACGUGUCCAUUUAAAUCUCCUCCUAUAAAUAACUUCUCCGUCUGAGCAAUUCCUUGCACCAAGUCUCCAAGGUCUUCCCAAAAUUUCUCCUUCGAACUCGUAUCCAACCCUACUUGAGGUGCGUACGCACUAAUCACAUUGAUAAGUUCUUGUCCUAUUACAAUCUUGAUUGCCAUGAUUCUAUCUCCUACCCUCUUGACAUCUACAACAUCUUGUGUCAAGGUCUUGUCCACGAUGAUGCCAACACCGUUUCUCGUUCUAUUUGUGCCCGAAUACCAAAGUUUAAACCCUGAGUUUUCUAGAUCCUUUGCCUUAAGACCAACCCACUUAGUUUCUUGUAGGCACAUAAUAUUUAUCCUUCUCCUCACCAUAACUUCCACUACUUCCAUAGAUUUUCCCGUUAAGGUUCCUAUAUUCCACGUUCCUAAACGCAUUUUGCUCUCUUGAACUCUACCCUUCUGUCCUAGCUUCUUCACCCUCCCCCAUCUAAUAGGAUCAAAGUACUUCUUUUGUGUGUUCCGUGUAAAGUUGAUAGGAGCAUAUGCUUCUAAACAACUUUGAGUGGAGUCGUUCGAAAAGAAGUUUCUAUGGCCCCCUUGCUCAUUUAACACUGCAUCCGGGUGCCGAUGGAGAUACAACGACCCUUGCUCACUUAUCACUGUGCUCGGGCCACACAGCGCGCCACUUACUGGUGACACCCUAGCUUUAGCGCAAUUUCGUUCUGGAUUCAUUUUCAUAAGGAUUCGACGUAAUCAUGGAGUGCCGGCUGUCGACUACCUGACGCCCUCCCCCUCCUCCUUUAUCCAGGCUUAGGACCGGCAAUGUAAGAUAAACUUACACAGGCGGAGUUAACGGAACACGCUAGAACUGAAACAUUAAAAACAACAUGUACCCAUUUCAAAGACCAAAAAUCCUGCAAGGACAAAAAAAAAAUCCGAGAAAAUCAGUACAUCAGUACUCCCUGCAAAACCCCAAAAUCAGAAAAUUAGAAAAAGAACCCAAAUCAGUGGCAUGGUCCUUGUUUCUCCAUUAAUCAGUAGGUAAUGACCUAAUGAAAAAGAACCCAAAACAGACGGCUUAAAUUAUGGAAAGUGCUUAUAAAGCUCAUGAAUAACUUUCAAAGCCUGCAUUCCACAGUGUGCACACGCACAAACAUAAAAUAUACAUGCAUAGUUAAUUUUAGACAAUAAUACCUCAGAACAUAAGUUGCAAUUUGGGACUAUUUGGUUGACUCAAAAGAAAUUGAUGGGUUAGAAAACCACAAAAAAAAUACAAAGACGGAUGUUUUUAUGUCGUUCAUUUCUUACGUCGACAAAACACACACACCUGUGUUUUAAUGCUCCUCCAAUACUCAAUGAGAAGGCACCAGGCAAAAAGAAGGUCAAGGCUGGAAAGAAGCUUCCAAAGAGAACAAUAUAUAAAGCAGACCACAAAAAUUAGACAAAACCCAAAAACUAAACAGUAGAAAAACCUCUAAAAUAUAUAAAUAUAUAUAUAAUUAAAUAAUUUAAAAAAAAACUAAACUGCAAAUACUCUAGAAAUCGUAAAAUGAACUGCAAACCCGUCAAUCAUUUCCCAAAACCACAUAACCAAAGAGUAAAAAAGGGAGUACGGGAGAGAGAAGCAGCCAAAAUACAGAGAAGAUGGCAAGAGAGAGAGAGAGAGAGAGAAAAAUGAAUUAUUUUGGUGCCUCUGGUUCCUGCCUUUGUUCUUUGUUUUUCAUUUAUUUAUAGGUAACUUGCUCAAGUCCAAAGGCAAUUAAACAUGAUUAGUAAAGCACCAUAAUAAAGCAUGAGAGAUAUCUAUUUUAAUUAAAUCUGUUGUGGGCUCACUGUGAUUGUACAUCAUCAUCAUAAAUAAUGCAUGCUUGAACCCCAUUUUAGUUUCAUGCCUAUCAUAAUUAAAUCAUGGAUGGUCAAGAAGCAUAGGACUGAGAAAUCAGAGCCUAAUUUCCAAUAUCAAAAGAGUACAAAUUAUUCAACUUAAACGCUAAUUUCGUUAACGAAGAUUAAAAUAGGCGUGAAAUCCAUACAAUUUAUACGUUACCAUUGAUUCAAGUUCUGGUAGGUAUCCAUGGAAACUAUCCGUUGCCACUCUCUCAGUUCCCAUAUUUUCUGUAUGUUUCAUUAAACAAUAUAAACUUUUGAUGCUCUUCCAUCUGGAGCUAAAACAGAUUACCAAUAAUAACAAAGAGGUCUAAAUAAUAGAAAUCAAAAUUUUGAUUUUUGCGGACUUUAGAGAAUCUGCAAACUUUAGCCUAACAUUAUGUGAUUGCCUCACUUCUUCAGUAACUCAGAGGAGGUGAAUUACUCAAAGUAUGGAGGACUUCUGCUAACAUAUUUCAAGCACUUGUAACAUUAAAUGUAAUGACAGGUUGACAUUAUUAUUAUUUUUUUUUUGUAAAGAAUUGUUGCAAGAAGUUUGACCCUUUGUCUUUUUAUUUCUGUAAGGAUUUAUAGGUACAUAUAAAAUCCAUAUUAUAUAUGGUUCACAGAUGAGAGUACUUCAAACACCAAAUAUUCAUUCAUGAUUGGAGAUAAGAAAGCUUACUAAGAGGCAAUCGCCUUUGUGAUGUUUACUUUUGUGCUUAUCCUUUGUCUUCUUUUCUGAGGCAAAAUAUGUCAAUGUGAUAAGUAAUUUCCCAUAAAGAAUAUCAUCCUCAAUAGGCUAAACAACUACAAUGGUUAGUCAAAUAAUGUACUUUCAUGUAGUUAAUCUCCUCGGUUUGUGUUUACUUUUUCAAUAUCAAAACAUCUCGAAGAAACAACGUUUUCCCUUACUCUACAAACACCGAAUGUGCCCGAUAAACCACUAACAACGCCAUUACUCUAAUUCGACUGCAGAGUGAGAGUUAAGAUAAGAAGAUACUCACAGGCCAAAACGGAUGACAUCACCAACACAUAAAUCCAAAAGCCACAACCAAAUUUAAUUUUGUUUUUACGUUGAAUUUUUUUUUCUUGAAUCCGUUUGGAUGCUGAGAACGUGUGGUAUGGGAUUAUUAAUUACCGGCAGGGAAAAUGACGAUUUCUCCUAUUUGCAUUUGCAGGUGGAGGAAUCAUAGCCGAGGGAUUGCAGUUCGUCGGUGACCAUCUUCCUCAAAUCGUCUUUUUGUUUGAGAUUCUUGUUUGCUUCGACGAUCCUCGCCGUAUCAGCCAGGAGGUUUCUCUCCGAGACGCUCACGCAUGGAAUCAGACUCUGAUUAAACAAUAAUUAAGCAAACAAUCAAUCACCCAUAUUCAUAUUCUGUGUUUGGUUGCCAAGAAACCGCGAGAAAUGCAAAAACAAUUUACUAAUAAAAAAGUGUAAUCAAAGCAACCAUUAUUUAUACUUUUGUACCUUAAGAAUAUCUGAGGCGUCGCCACCGAACGAACCGGAGGAGAUUGAAUCACCGAAACCUCCACCGAAUAUAUCGAACUCGUCGUCGGAGCUGUCAUUGCUGUUGCCGUGAAAGCAAUUGCAGCGGUUCCGUCCACAUUUCGGCGGAGGUUGCUUCUCGUUGCUUUCUUCGAUGAAAUUCUGAACCAUCUUCGCCAAGCAGACCGAACUUGGCUUGAACUCAGGCCGCGGCGCUGACGGUCCCUUCAUCCUUGCUGAUAUUGAGGCCGCAGGAGUGGCGAGUUGUGAUGUGGACUCAGGCCUCUCGGCCUCUGGGUUUUACGGAGAAGGGGAAGAUGGUGAGGGUUGAGAGAGAUGCAGAGUCUGAAAGAGAGUGAAAGAGAAAGGGUUAUAAGAGAGGUUGAGUGUGACAGAGACGAUUGAAGCAAAACGCACGAUGAUAAACGCGUGUGCUCGGUUCAGAAUGGCAAGCCCGUAAAUACCCAAUGACAGAUUUGUAAAUAAAAUGAAAUUCACUUCAAAAUACUGUUCAUUUUAAUAGUGCCUAUUGAAAACCUUACUUUAGACUAAAGUAACUAAAAAUUAUGUUUGCGCGUUGCUACUAGAACCAACUGUUUCAAACGUAAUUGGAUGGACAAAACACAUUUAAGUUGAAUAAAUUCAAAACAAUUACGAACAAACAGAAGGAUACAUGAGUGCAUGAGGCCGGUAAGAUCAGCAGUUUUGCUUUUGUACACUUGUAAGUGAGUUGACAUAUAAACACAUUGCACAAUGAGUGAGAAUAAACUCUACGUGUUUGAAACUUCAUUUUAAACUAACAUUCACACAAUCCUAAUCAUUUGUGAAUUACCAUAUUCUUAUCAUUAUUCCAAUAUCUCUUCAUGUAGAUGGGGUGAGCUCAUACCAGUCACUAAGAGCAUUUUUGAUACUCUACUUGAAUCCAACUUUUUAAAUUCAAAAACAAUUUUCAAGUUUUAAGCCUUAAAAACUUGUUUGGUAAGAUUAUUUUCAAAAAUUGAACUUAAGAUUAACUCAAAACUAUAGUUUACUCUCUAAAAACACAAAAUGUAAAUUUUUAGAGUUUUUAAACUUAAACUCACUCAUUUCUUUUCUCUCCCUCCUCCUCUCUCACUCCAAAUCUAUCUCUCUUUUCUUCUUUCUAUGUCCCCCUUUUUUUUUUUUUUUUUACCUUUUUCGUCUCUCAUCCAAUCCGCUCUCUUCAUUAUCUCGAUUCUUUUUCUCACUUAUCUUCCUCUAUAUCUCCUCCGAUCCUCUCUUCUUUCUCUUUCCUUCAAUCAUAUCUUACUUUCUUUCCUCCUCUUUCCUCUUUCUCCCUCGACCCCCUCUUUUUGGAUCUCUUUGUCCAGUUUAAGUUGUAAGAUUUAAAAAUUUUAAAUUACAUACCAAACAAGUUUUUUAGUCUUAAAUAAAAUUAUUUUUCAAGAAAAAUUCUUAAAAAAUGUUUUGAGAAAUGAUAAAAAAUUUCAAAUAGGAUACCAAACAAGCAUUAAAAUUGCUAAUGUAUUUAGUGAUUAUACAGAGCAACUUAACUAUAGAAACGCUCCUCAAAUCACUCUAUACGUUUCCAUUUUGCUUUUCAAAUUAGCAUGUUUAUAUAUUGACAUUAGAGAAAACGAGAAUGCUGAUGAAAAUUGGAUUAUUAGAGGUUAAACGGCAGCGACCCCCCCCCCCUCCCCCCCCCAAAUCCAUUUUUGUUGGUUGACAUUCUGAAUAUUGACGGUUUACCUUGUCCUCCUUAAUUUCCUAUAAUCGGUAGUAUAGGGGCGACAUCUUGGCAUUUGUUGCAGUGUCGUAUCCAUCUGUACCCCCCUCCACUACCUUGCUUGUCUCCUUUAGUUUAUCUGUUGCUUGCCUCCCUUAACGAGCAGAAACCAAACAAGAACACCCAAUUUUGACACGUGUACAACACACUCAAACAUCAUCAGCGUCCAAGAAGGCUAGGCGCCAUAUCACAGAGAUCCAUCUUGGCCUAGGUCCCUCUCUAGUUUCUUGCUAAUCAAAAUUCAAACCCAAUUUUUUAUUCGGAAAUAAAUUUCAAAAUUUAGGAAAUUUUAUUAUCUGAAAAAGAAAUAAUUUUCAAGGGUUACACUGUGACUGUGCUGAUAAACACAUGGAUACCAAGCUCUGUUGUGAUUGCUUCCCUUUACGUUUUUUCGCCAAUCUUUGUGCACCAUUUAGACAUUGAUAGUGAUGCCAGUUUUAGCUGUAUCCUCACAUAAAAAUUGCCAAAUAUACACAGAUGUCAAAGAUCUUGAAGUUUGGUUCACAUGCUUUGUCAGGGAAGAUCAAUGUAUGCGAUUGGGUCGUCUGGAAUUAGCAGUGUAAAAGGUGUUGGUAUACGGUCCAGCCCAUGAUCAAUGUUCUAGAUUAUUCUAGUAAGCAAGAGAUGAGGCUGGAGCUUGCUAGACAAUUCUAGCAUGUUAUUAAGUUGAUGGAAGAAGCUAGAGAGUACUAGCUUCCUUGGUUGCAAAUGGAAAGAUCUAGAAGCUACAAGUAUGUGGCUAGUCUAGAUUUUUCUAUACUAGAGGUUUGAAGAAGGAACUAGAAACUAGUAGAAUGCCAAGCCCUCACCUAUAAAUAUGGGUGUGAUGUAACCAAUUGAAAAUCAAGAAAGAGUGAGUAGCAAAGGAUCAAGUCCAAAGCUAGAGUUCCACUCCAAGAGUGAGAGUGAGAGUGUUCCACUACACAUUGUGUGAGUGAAGUUUAGAGUGAUAGAAAGUGUGUGUUAUACUUUCUUGUAUCCAUCAAGCCUUGUCUUUGGCUUGGUAAGACUACUCUUGUUGUAUUCAUUUUUUUCAUAUAGUGAAGAUUGAUCCUUGUUUGGUGGACGUAGGCAUAAAUUGCCGAACCACAUAAAUUCUUGGUGUCCAUUUUCUACUUUACCUUGUGCAUUCUCUAUCUUGUAGUACUGACAUUCCUAACAAGUGGUAUCAGAGCCCGGUUGGCUCGUACUACGAGAUGGAAGGAAGUGGCACUAUGAUCAAACUCACCAACUCCAAUUGGGUAACAUGGAAGCCAAGGAUGGAGGACAUUCUCUAUUGCAAGGAUUUGCAUGAGCCAAUUGAAGGAGAUGCCGCUAAGCCCGAGAGCAUGUCCGAUGCCGAGUGGAAGAAGAUGAAUCGCAAGGCUAUUGGCACAAUUAGACAAUGGGUGGAUGAUAGUGUUUUUCACCAUGUGUCUAAUGAAACCAAUGCUCGCGAGUUUUGGACGAAGCUUGAGUCCUUGUUCGAGAAGAAGACCCCAGCCAAGAAAGCCUUCUUGAUCAAAGAGCUCAUCAAUGUGAAGUACAAGGAUGGUUUAAGUGUAGCAGAACACUUGAACAAUUUCCAGAAUAUCAUCAACCAGUUGGCUACUAUGAAAAUGACGAUCGAGGACGAGCUACAAGCGCUCUUGUUACUUGGAUCCUUGCCAGACAGUUGGGAGACCUUUGUGGUGAGUAUAAGUAACUCUGCUUCUAAUGGUGUUCUUACUCUUGAUAAUGUUAAAAAUAGCAUGCUCAAUGAAGAAACAAGGAGAAAGACUUCUGGCACAGAUAGCAGCCAAGUAUUUGUCACAGAGAACCGCGGAAGAAGCAAGAGUAGAGGGCCUAGAGGUCAUGGCAGGAGUCCUAGCCGAUCCAAGUCAAGGUUCAGGGGUGCAUGCCACCAUUGUGGCAAAGAAGGCCAUAUGAAGAAAAAUUGUCGAGUUUGGAAGAGAGAGCAAAAGGAAGGAAACAAUCAGAAGAAAGAUGAUACUGGCAAUACCACUGCUGUCAUAUGUGGUGAUGUACCAGAAAUAUUGUCUGUUGGUGAAUGUCUGCAUAUGGGCAACUCUGACAGAGACAUUGAAUGGAUCUUUGAUAAUGGAGCUUUCUUCCAUGCUACGUCCAAACGGGAGUUCUUCAGUACAUACAAAGAAGGUGACUUUGGCAUAGUGAAGAUGGGGAAUGAAAGCUAUUCCAAAAUUCUUGGAAUUUGGUGAUAUCUGCUUAAGAACUAAUCUCGGCUGCCAAUUGAUGUUGAAAAGAUGUGAGACAUAUUCCUGAUAUACGUCUCAAUCUGAUAUCCAUCGGUACCCUUGAUCGACAAGGAUAUUAUCACCAUAUUGGCGAAGGAAAAUUGAAGCUUACUAAAGGCUUAAUGGUGGUAGCAAGAGCACGACUUUGUUGUACGUUGUACCGGUCAAAUGCCAAGGUUUUGAAAGGUGAGUUGAAUGCUGUGGAAGACUCAUCUCUAGACUUGUGGCAUAAGAGGCUAGGCCACAUGAGCGAGAAAGGCCUACAAGUUUUGGCAAAGAAGUCUCAUAUUCCCUUUGCCAAAGGUACGUCGUUAAACUCUUGUGAGCAUUGUUUAUUCGGAAAACAAAGAAGAGUUAGUUUUUCUGUUCCAUCUACAAAGAAAGGAAACUUGUUAGAUCUUGUUUAUUCAGAUGUGUGUGGUCCCAUGGAAGUCGAGUCACUUGGAAGAAAUAAAAUAUUUUGUUACUUAUAUUGAUGAUGCUUCACGAAGGGUGUGGGUGUAUUUGUUGAAAUCCAAAGACCAGGUGUUUCAGACAUUCCAGGAGUUCCAUGCCAUGGUGGAGAGGGAAACUGGGAAACCUCUCAAGUGCCUUCGUAGCGACAACGGCGGCGAAUACACAUCUCACCAGUUUAGAGAGUAUUGUGUAAAACAUGGCAUACGUCAUGAGAAGACAGUUCCUGGAACUCCACAACAUAACGGUGUUGCUGAAAGAAUGAACCGAACCAUCAUGGAGAAAGUCAGGUGUAUGUUGAGGACUGCAAAGUUAUCUAAGCAGUUCUGGGGUGAAGCUGUAAGGACAGCCUGCUAUUUGAUCAACCGAUCUCCAUCAGUACCAUUAGGUCUUGAUGUUCCAGAGAGAGUAUGGACUGGUAAUGAUGUGUCUUACUCUCAUCUGAAGGUGUUUGGUUGCAAAGCUUUUGUGCAUGUGCCCAAAGAGCAGAGAUCGAAGUUAGACUACAAAGCUACACCGUGCAUCUUUCUUGGUUAUGGCGGUGAAGAUUUUGGUUACAGAUUAUGGGACCCAUACCAGAAGAAGUUUAUCCGAAGUAGAGACGUGGUCUUUUAUGAAGAUCAAACAAUUGGGGAUUCGGAUAAAGAGGCACAACCAGAUGGCGCAGUCAGAGGAGUUGAUCCAUUAGUUUCAGAUGAAGAAAGUCACGAUGACAUCCCUGAAGCAACUGCCAAUGAAGUGCCUGCAGAAUCAGAUAAUGCUGAUCAAGAGGAGCCUGAUCAAGAUGUGCCAGACCAUGAGAUUGCUGAUCAGGGGGAGCCUAGUCAAGAAGAGCAGAUUCAAGGAGAAUCCAAUCAGGGGGAGCCUCUAGCCCCGCAAGAGAAUGAAGAUCAGGUCAGAAGAUCCAGCAGAAGUCGAAGACCGUCUACCAAGUAUUCUUCAUCAGAGUAUAUCAUGUUGACUAAUUAUGGAGAGCCCGAAACUUAUGAGGAGGCCAGAGCUCAUAACGACAGUGAUAAAUGGAUGAAGGUAACUUGGAGUCAUGAUCGGAAUUCCUCCCUCAUGGACUGGAGGGGGAGAUUGUUGGUAUACGGUCCAGCCCAUGAUCAAUGUUCUAGAUUAUUCUAGUAAGCAAGAGAUGAGGCUGGAGCUUGCUAGACAAUUCUAGCAUGUUAUUAAGUUGAUGGAAGAAGCUAGAGAGUACUAGCUUCCUUGGUUGCAAAUGGAAAGAUCUAGAAGCUACAAGUAUGUGGCUAGUCUAGAUUUUUCUAUACUAGAGGUUUGAAGAAGGAACUAGAAACUAGUAGAAUGCCAAGCCCUCACCUAUAAAUAUGGGUGUGAUGUAACCAAUUGAAAAUCAAGAAAGAGUGAGUAGCAAAGGAUCAAGUCCAAAGCUAGAGUUCCACUCCAAGAGUGAGAGUGAGAGUGUUCCACUACACAUUGUGUGAGUGAAGUUUAGAGUGAUAGAAAGUGUGUGUAUACUUUCUUGUAUCCAUCAAGCCUUGUCUUUGGCUUGGUAAGACUACUCUUGUUGUAUUCAUUUUUUUCAUAUAGUGAAGAUUGAUCCUUGUUUGGUGGACGUAGGCAUAAAUUGCCGAACCACAUAAAUUCUUGGUGUCCAUUUUCUACUUUACCUUGUGCAUUCUCUAUCUUGUAGUACUGACAUUCCUAACAAAAGGAGGAUUGAUGAAUCUGAGAAAGAGGAUUGAAAGCAAAAGAGAUGAGAAGCUGAAUGGAAAACGUCGCUCCAGCUUCCUCUUUGAUUCAAUCUCGCCCACUGAAUAAAAAUGAGAGAGACAACGCAAGAAGGAACCGUUACAAACUUCACAUGCAUUACACACCUCUCAUACUCGCAAACCUCUAUCCAGUCUAGUAAGGGCUUUGAAGCAGCUUCUAAAACGGACUAAGGGCUCGUUUAAGCAUAAUAAAAAAUUGGGUUUACACCCCCCUUGUGUACCUGGUAAGCCCCUCUUCACAUUGGAUCUAAGCAUAUAUUCUUAGCUUUUGAAGCAUCCGACAAAUAAGGAGGAUAGGUUUUUUUAGAAGUUUCUGACUCUUCUUCAAAUAAAUCCAUUUUAUCGGGAUUAAAAAUAGGAAUUGGUAAAAAUCUCAAAGACAACACAAGAAGGAACUGUUGCAAACUUCACAUGCAUCACACACCUCUCAUACUCACAUGUCUUGCAUGUGUAUAUCUAAGACAAAGUCCGCUACUAUGACAGCUGGCACAAUCCGAACCUAUGAGCUAGUCUAAUCUCAACCAUUUAAUUUCAAUUCAAACAAAUAAGGACAAGACUAUGGAACUUGAAUUCUAAGAAAUCAGCUUCAAGGCUUAAUCACUAACAAUACAUACCUGAUCAAAAAAGAAAGAAAAAACACAACUUUACAAUACAUACGGAUAAGUAAAUACUGUCCACGUACUAACCGCAGGUGAAGAAAGAAAUACGCGAAAAAGCAAAAAACUAAAUAGAAGAGCUCUCAGAAUAAAGAAACCAACUCAAAACACAAAAGAGUGAUAAACUCUACCACACAAAAUCACCAUUUAUUCCACCUCCCAUGUCCCCAGUCUUACUACAUAUCAGUGAUGAUGCGCCAAAUACCUCAAUCCCCAUUACCCCGUGACCCACAGAUACAACCCCAUAUUCUCCCACCUCUCCUUGAUGCUGCCACCGCCUUCUCCUUCUCUUCCUCAUGGCUCGACUGCUUGAGAUAACUCAAAAUUGCCUCAACAGCCACCGCCUCCUUUUCCUCGCAGCUUGAGUCCACCGUCACAGUCAACGGUGCGGUGCUCUGAUUCUGAUCCAAAUUCCCAGAAGUGCUGAAACUUUGUCGUUUUGGGUGGGAACCCUUUGAUCCAUGAUUGCUGUCCUGAUGUAUACUAGUUCCCUCUAGUGUACUCUCUGCCUCAAGGAACUCCAAAUCUCGCAGCCUCAUCUCUUCCCCAUAACUUGACUCCUCAUGAUCUGUCAAAAUUUCUGAACCAUCGCUCCAGGGGAGGAGGGAUUCCCCAUCAGCCACCGCUUCAUUUUGCUCAUUGUUUGGGACCAUGGCAAUGAUGGCAUUAAUCAUAGGUGCAGUGCUUCGAAACUGAGCCAAAUCCGCCAAAGUGAUGAAUUGUUGUUUAGGGCGGUAACCACGUAUACCAGUUCCCCCUAUGUGAAGGUUCUUCAAAUACCGUAAGUCUUCAGGCAACUUCGAAAGUUCUGAGCACCCAUGGAGAUUGAGCCAUUCGAGACUCAACAAAUUGCAGAUACUGUCCGGAAUAUAGACCAGGCUUUUGCACUUUUUCAGAUUUAACGACACUAGCCCCUGAAGCCGUUCAAUUGAUGCAGGAAGCUCUCUGAUAGAUGUUCGAUCCAAAUCAAGGCUGGCUAACCUUUCCAUAUUUUCUAAUAUGUCUGGAAACACCUCAAACUUUGUACAACCAGAAAGAGAGAGAUAAUUUAGGGACUUGAGUUGACAAAUGUUGCUUGUAAGACUCUUAAAGUCUUUGCUAUACCGUAGCGUCAAAGUAGCAAGUCCCGUAAGACUAUAAAUUAUGGAUGGCAAUUCUUCAAUUGCAAUCCCUGAAAACUCAACAAUUUUUCGGCGGCGAGAGGCUUGCUCACGUUCAAGCUCUGUAAGAUUUUUGAAUGUUGAUGAAUCUUCUGUAAAUAUAGUCCAAUCGAAAUUAAGCUCUGUUAGGUUCUCCAUACCUUCUAGAAACUCUGGAAAAUUCUUCAGAUUUGAGCAGCCAGAAACAUUCAGGACUUGAAGAGAUCUCAUAUGAAUGCUGCCUGGAAAAAUCUUUAAUCUUCUGCAAUCCUUCAGGCUCAGGGUAACGAGUCCUGUAAAAUUUUUUAUGGACGAGGGCAGUUCUGAAAUUGCAGUCUCAUCUAAAUUAAGCUCUAAUAGGUUCAUAACUUCAGGAAUUUCUGAAAAAUUAUCCAGAUUUGAGCAGCCGGAAAGAUUAAGGGUUUGAAGAGAUCUCAUGUGAAUGCUGCUUGGAAGGCUAUGAAGUUUCUUGCACUGCUUUAGACUCAAACUCUCAAGGUUUUCAAGAGAAUAAAUUGAUGGGCAAAGGUCUUCAACAGAUGUCUCAUCCAAGCGAAGCUCUCUUAAUCCUUCCAUAUUUCCGCCAUUUUCUGGAAAGGCUUUGAGCUUUGAACAACCAGAAAGAUUAAGAAAUUGCAGGGACUUGAGUUGAACAAUGCUGUUUGGAAGAAUCUCAAGUUCUCUGCAAUAUUCAAGAUUCAAAGUAACAAGCCCCGUAAGAUUGUUAAUUGAUCGAGGCAGUUCUUUUAUUGCAGUCCCUUGCAAAUAAAGCUUUGAAAGCUUCUCCAUAAUUUCUGAAAUCUCUGGAAACUUCUCAAGUAUUGAGCAAAAAGAGAGAUCAAGGGUUUCAAGAGAUUUCAUACAAAUGGUGCUUGAAAAGGUCUUGAGUUUGCCGCACCAACUUAGAUCCAAGAGGACAAGUUUUUCAAGGGCAGAAAUGGAUGGGUGAACCUCAUAUAAACUUUGUGCAUCCACCAAGAAUUAGGUUCUCAAGAUUCUUUGCCUCAGUGAAGUCAGGUGUUUCCUUAAGACGAUAAGAGCCUUUUAAGUUGAUAAUUUUCAACUUUUCCAGAGGCUGUCAAUAUACAACAAGGAAAAUAUGUGUUACCUACAUAAUAAGGCAUUUAAAAACUAAACAAUUUAAAAGCAGUAUAUAGGCAAAUGAUGAACGUACCUGAGUUCCUUUCCAGAGGUGUUCAACCCAACUAUAUUGCAUGUCAAUGUCAACAAGAUUCUCUGGGUUAAAAUUGGACGAUAAAGACUUUAGAGGACAUUUGUGCCAGAACAAAUAACUUAAUUUUUCAGAGAGAAACUUUAGAUCCUUGUAUUUCCAUUCAUCAUCGGAUUCCCUGCCCGGUGGUUGUAAAUAGUGGGUAUGGACUCUGAGUAGUCUUAGUUUUAUCAUUUUAAAAAAAGCGGUGUCUAAUUCCACCACAUUGUUUGAGUAUGGCCAACGCACAAUUAUGCUUUCAACUGCUUCUGUAGCCUGGAUAACCAAAAUUGCAAAUUGAAUGAGUACAAAACUUAAGAUUAUAACUUCUAAAUGCACAUGUUUCUCAUUAAUUGGAUUUUGGUCAAAGUUGAAGCUUUAUACUUUUUAUUAAUAUUAAUAAUAAUAAUAUUAUUAUUAACAUUAUUAUUAUUAUUAUUAUUAUUAUUAUAAUUAUUACUAUUAUUAAAUUUACUAAUAUUAAUGUGAGAGAGAAGAUUCAAAGCAAUUACAUUAAUGGAAGGGAGGGAGUGCGUUUCUCACCGUUUCUCGACUUAACACAUGAUGAACAUCUUCAUAGCUCCACAACCUACUGCGCCUCCCAGGCUCUUUUAUAGAUUCCUGGCGUACGAUUUCGCGACCCAUUUCCUCUAGUAAAUCAUGCAUCUCGAGUACACCAUCAGAUGAGACAGUGACAAGAGCUCUACCAACUAGAACGUCUAAUCCGGUAUGGGGAUGGAAGUCACAACCCUCCAUAAUCCUUGUUGCAAAGUCUUUCUUCAUUUGUUUAAAGAAACAUGCAAUAUCAAGAAAUAUUUCCUUCUGCAAACCAUCUAGUCCAUCAAAGCUUGUUCUAAGGACUGUCUGGAUUCCCAGGUGCGGAUUUCUCGCUAUUUUCUUUAACUCAUCUUUCCACACAAGUACACUUUUGUUAUCGAGGAAUGCUCCCAAGACUUUGAGUGCUAAAGGCAAACCUUGAGCAUAUUUUAUGAAAUGGCCUGACAAAUCAACGUAUUCUUCUGUGGGUUGCUUUGUACUGAAAGCAUACUGCAUAAACAGCUCGAGAGCAUCAUCGUCAUUUAACAACUCGGGCUCAUAUAUCUGAUCACCAAGUCUACUUAGUGACUGUUUCUCUCUAGUUGUUAUAAUGAUUCGACUUCCGCCACCAAAUGAAGGUUGCUUUCCAAUUAAGGCUUCAAUUUGGGAUGAACUCUCCACAUUAUCAAGAACAAGUAAAACCUUUUUCCUACCAACUCUUUCCAUCAUCUUCUGAAAACCAUUUCUCAAAAUCUCUGAACUCCCCACCUUCAUAU